AGAGUUUGAUCCUGGCUCAGAGCGAACGCUGGCGGCAGGCUUAACACAUGCAAGUCGAACGGGCGUAGCAAUACGUCAGUGGCAGACGGGUGAGUAACGCGUGGGAACGUACCUUUUGGUUCGGAACAACACAGGGAAACUUGUGCUAAUACCGGAUAAGCCCUUACGGGGAAAGAUUUAUCGCCGAAAGAUCGGCCCGCGUCUGAUUAGCUAGUUGGUGAGGUAACGGCUCACCAAGGCGACGAUCAGUAGCUGGUCUGAGAGGAUGAUCAGCCACAUUGGGACUGAGACACGGCCCAAACUCCUACGGGAGGCAGCAGUGGGGAAUAUUGGACAAUGGGCGCAAGCCUGAUCCAGCCAUGCCGCGAGGGUGAUGAAGGCCCUAGGGUUGUAAAGCUCUUUUGUGCGGGAAGA
Molecule: ribosomal RNA, 414 nt
Filed under: uncultured bacterium
Lineage: Bacteria
Description: bacterial SSU rRNA
Rfam family: Bacterial small subunit ribosomal RNA
Source: RNAcentral